UGUAUAAUGGGUCAGCGACUUAUAUUCUGUAGCAAGGUUAACCGAAUAGGGGAGCCGAAGGGAAACCGAGUCUUAACUGGGCGUUAAGUUGCAGGGUAUAGACCCGAAACCCGGUGAUCUAGCCAUGGGCAGGUUGAAGGUUGGGUAACACUAACUGGAGGACCGAACCGACUAAUGUUGAAAAAUUAGCGGAUGACUUGUGGCUGGGGGUGAAAGGCCAAUCAAACCGGGAGAUAGCUGGUUCUCCCCGAAAGCUAUUUAGGUAGCGCCUCGUGAAUUCAUCUCCGGGGGUAGAGCACUGUUUCGGCAAGGGGGUCAUCCCGACUUACCAACCCGAUGCAAACUGCGAAUACCGGAGAAUGUUAUCACGGGAGACACACGGCGGGUGCUAACGUCCGUCGUGAAGAGGGAAACAACCCAGACCGCCAGCUAAGGUCCCAAAGUCAUGGUUAAGUGGGAAACGAUGUGGGAAGGCCCAGACAGCCAGGAUGUUGGCUUAGAAGCAGCCAUCAUUUAAAGAAAGCGUAAUAGCUCACUGGUCGAGUCGGCCUGCGCGGAAGAUGUAACGGGGCUAAACCAUGCACCGAAGCUGCGGCAGCGACACUAUGUGUUGUUGGGUAGGGGAGCGUUCUGUAAGCCUGUGAAGGUGGCCUGUGAGGGUUGCUGGAGGUAUCAGAAGUGCGAAUGCUGACAUAAGUAACGAUAAAGCGGGUGAAAAGCCCGCUCGCCGGAAGACCAAGGGUUCCUGUCCAACGUUAAUCGGGGCAGGGUGAGUCGAC
This 779-nucleotide ribosomal RNA is filed under the name Escherichia coli. Its description in RNAcentral is "partial 23S ribosomal RNA". It matches the Rfam family "Bacterial large subunit ribosomal RNA", at positions 609 to 1388 of the family's 2925-position model. The record is from RNAcentral. Lineage: Bacteria; Pseudomonadati; Pseudomonadota; Gammaproteobacteria; Enterobacterales; Enterobacteriaceae.